This 24-nucleotide non-coding RNA is filed under the name Arabidopsis thaliana (thale cress). Lineage: Eukaryota; Viridiplantae; Streptophyta; Magnoliopsida; Brassicales; Brassicaceae. The record is from RNAcentral.
AUAAAAUUUUGCAGAUCAAUUCUA